This 253-nucleotide unclassified non-coding RNA is filed under the name uncultured fungus. Its description in RNAcentral is "partial contains 5.8S ribosomal RNA, internal transcribed spacer 2, and large subunit ribosomal RNA". The stretch from base 1 to 52 matches the Rfam family "5.8S ribosomal RNA", at positions 103 to 154 of the family's 154-position model. Lineage: Eukaryota; Fungi. The record is from RNAcentral.
AACGCACAUUGCGCCCGCCAGUACUCUGGCGGGCAUGCCUGUUCGAGCGUCAUUUCAACCCUCAAGCCCCCGGCUUGGUGUUGGGGCCCUGCGGCUGCCGCAGGCCCCGAAAUGCAGUGGCGGGCUCGCGGCGAACUCCGAGCGUAGUAGAAUCCUAUCUCGCUAGGGAGGCGCGGCGCGCUCCGGCCGCUAAAGGAACUUCUUUUAACCCAAGGUUGACCUCGGAUCAGGUAGGAAUACCCGCUGAACUUAA